AUUGCGCAUGGGCGAANCCUGNGCANCGACGCCGCGUGGGGGAUGAAGCUUCUCGGAGUGUAAACCCCUUUCGACCCGGACGAAACGCCCGCAAGGGCUUGACGGUACGGGUAUAAGAAGCCCCGGCUAACUACGUGCCAGCAGCCGCGGUAAUACGUAGGGGGCCAGCAGUUGCUCGGAAUUACUUGGGCGUAAAGGGUUCGUAGGCGGUGCGGCAAGUCGGGAGUGAAAUCUCUGGGCUUAACCCAGAGGCUGCUUCCGAAACUGCCGUGCUAGAGUGCGGGAGAGGCGAGUGGAAUUACAGGUGUAGCGGUGAAAUGCAGUAGAUAUCUGCAGGAACACCCGUGGCGAAGGCGGCUCGCUGGACCGCAACUGACGCUGAGGAACGAAAGCUAGGGGAGCAAACAGGAUUAGAUACCCUGGUAGUCCUAGCCCUAAACCAUCAGGACUUGGGGUGCAUCCCGUUCGGGGUGCGUCCCGUAGCUAACGCGUUAAGUCCUGCGCCUGGGGAGUACGGUCGCAAGGCUGAAACUCAAAAAAAUUGACGGA
This 549-nucleotide ribosomal RNA is filed under the name uncultured bacterium. RNAcentral describes it as "bacterial SSU rRNA". It matches the Rfam family "Bacterial small subunit ribosomal RNA", at positions 363 to 917 of the family's 1533-position model. The record is from RNAcentral.